GUGUCAGCAGCCGCGGUAAUACGUAGGGGGCGAGCGUUGUCCGGAUUUAUUGGGCGUAAAGCGCACGCAGGCGGUUUCGUAAGUUUGGAGUGACAGUGCUCGGCUCAACUGAGCAAGGCCUCUGAAAACUGCGGGACUUGAGGACCAGAGAGGGACAUAGAAUUCCGGGUGGAGUGGUGAAAUGCGUAGAUAUCCGGAGGAAUACCAAAGGCGAAGGCAGUGUCCUGGCUGGUGACUGACGCUGAGGUGCGAAAGCUAGGGGAGCGAACAGGAUUAGAAACCCUGGUAGUCC
RNAcentral lists this ribosomal RNA (292 nucleotides) under uncultured bacterium. RNAcentral describes it as "partial 16S ribosomal RNA". It matches the Rfam family "Bacterial small subunit ribosomal RNA", at positions 505 to 796 of the family's 1533-position model. The record is from RNAcentral.